Molecule: long non-coding RNA, 4927 nt
Organism: Haemorhous mexicanus (house finch)
Lineage: Eukaryota; Metazoa; Chordata; Aves; Passeriformes; Fringillidae
Exons: 2
Source: RefSeq, a predicted model, not a curated record
GGUCUCUCCCUCAGAGUUGCUUUUUGUCUGAAAAAAUAAUUUUGUUGAAACUUUUUUACUAAUUUUCAACAAAAAGGUGCAAAGAUUUCAAGGCGUUUCAUACAAACCGUUCUGCCUGUCCUUCACUUGCAGGUUUGUUACAGGCACUGGAAGGAUGAGUGUGGACCAGCAGCUUCGGAUGGUUUGGGAAGAGAAAAAAAUGAACAGCCAGAGAAUAUUUUUGAUGGAAAUUGGCCCAACAGGUCCCUCUCAAGGCUUCAGUCACCCCCAAACCCACAGGGCUCCUCGUGCCUUCCCGGCAGCAGCGAAGCCGACACAGGGAUGCCAGAGCUGGGGACACAAAGGCAGCACUGCCACCCUUCCCCUGCCCUCUGCAGAGCAGCAAGGUGACCUCGGCGUGGCCAGCGAGCAGCAAGGUGCCCUCUGCCACCUUUAACCCCAGGUGAGACUGGCUCAUCCAGCCCCACCUGCCAUGGCAGGGGCACCUGCCACUGUCCCAGGUGCUCCAGCCCCAGUGUCCAACCCGGCCUUGGGCACUGCCAGGGAUCCAGGUGCAGCCCCAGCUCUGUGGACACCCCAAGUACCAAGUGUCCUCUGUUCCUGCUCUCAGGGUUGUGGUGAUCAUGAGGUUUCAGGUCCCAGAAUAAUUUUCCCUGGGUCAGGCUAAGAGGGACCCCUGGAGACUUUUGCCUUUUGGGAUCUGUGCAUCUCCUCCCACUCUGUGCCAGGAGCCUGCCCAGGUGUUUUGCUCUCCUCUUAUUUCAGGCACUGGCUUUGGAUUAAUUGCUCAUGAUCUGAACCCUGAGUUGUGCUGUGAUCCUGGGGAGAGGAUGUCCCACAGAUCCAGGAGAGGGGAUCUGAGCCCUGGUUCCAGAGCCCUCCUGCACGGCCCUGCCCCGCCGUGGCUCCCCCAGGUCUCUGUUGCUCCAGGGUCAGGUGCACACACAGAUCCUCUCCCGACAGAAGUCCUGUGGACAAGGGAGUGUUUCCCUGUCAGAUGGAUCUUCAGCAGGUUUGGAACAUCCUUACCCAGAGCCAGCCAGAGGAAAGGAUUUCUGUGAACACAGAAAAUCCUGAAAAAUCCAGAAAAUCCACAGAAAAUCCUGGUCUCCAGAACCAGCCUUUCAUCCAGGGAUCAGAAAUCCAAGUUCUCCCUGUGUCCAGCUUGAGCAGGUGAAAUUGUGCCUCAUCCAUCUCCAGCUACUGCUUCCAUCACCCUCCAAGGAGGUGCUGGGUUUAUUUUUAGAAGGAACCUACAAAAACACCCCCUCAACCCAGACACCAAACAGGAUGGGGCUGGCAGCCAGUGAGGCCGUGCUGCUCCUCGGUGACACCCAGGGAGCCUGGCAUGCCCGGGCGCCUCCCAGCUGUUCCCGAGGAGCCUUUUUUGGGUACUUUUCCCCAAAGGCACACGUGGUUCUUUGUUCAGAACUCCGUGGUGAUUAAAAUGACCGCUGAGUCCCGGAAAGUUAAAACAAGCCCUGCAGCCAGCGCAGUGCACAGGAAACAGCUGGGGAGAGGAUGCUGGAACGGAUUUCCAUAAAAGCCAAUGAUUCAUGGAAAUGUUCAGCGAGCGGGGCCAGCCUCGGGUCCUGAGGAACUGCUACUCCUGACCGACAGAUUCCCGAGCCAGCCCCACCCCGGCAGUCAUUCCCGAAUUCCCAGUGCCCGCCCCCAGCACCGGCCCUGGAGCAGAGCACAGGGAACUCCCAAAAUUCAGCCUGGGGGAUGUUACAUCCCCGAUUUCUGCUGCCAGUGAAGUGCUGCUCAGCUGCCCUGGACUGGGGAAAGGGAUGUCAGCAGAGGGCAGUGCCUGUGUUACAGGGGCUGGAGGGACAGGACACAGGGAACGGCAUCCCAUCCCAGAGGGCAGGGAUAGAUGGGAGAUUGGGAAUGAGGAAUUGUUCCCUGGCAGGGUGGGCAGACCCUGGCACAGGUGCCCAGAGCAGCUGUGGCUGCCCCUGGAUCCCUGGCAGUGCCCAAGGCCAGGUUGGACACUGGGGCUGGGAGCAGCCUGGGACAGUGGGAGGUGUCCCUGCCAUGGCAGGGGUGGCACUGGAUGGGAUUUAAAGUCCUUCCAACUCAACACAGUCUGUGGUGAUGAUGAUGGUGAUGGUGAAGGCCAUCUGGGCAGGACAGAGUGUGACCUUCCAGCAGGAAGAAGAACCUGCUGCAUUCUGUGGCUCUCCAGGCUCCUUUCUGCUGUGCCCAUCAGAUUUUCUUCCAGGACUCUUUCCCCAGAGCUCCAAGCAGGUACUGCCAGCUGGGCAUUGCUCCCUGGAGUGGUGCCAGGCCAAACCAAACCAUUUUCCACAUCCCAUAAGUCAGGAGAUGGAAAAUCCCCUUUGGGCCACUGGGUUCAGCUGCUCCUGCAGCGCAGGGCUGCUCCUGCCAGGACAUUUUCCAUGGAUAUUUCCCACCCACUUGGAAUGACUCAAGCACAGGGGCUCCACCACUGCAGGGAUCCUCCCUGGCUGCACAGCUCCAGGGGAGGGCAUUUUCCUCUCUCUCACACUGAGACUUUCCUUUCCAGAUGUCAGCUCUUUCCUCCCAUCUGGACCCCCUGGGUUAUUCUCCCUUUCCCUGACGUUUCCCGCUGUGUUCAUUCCGUGCCUGGCACCGGUGCCUGAGCCCUGCUGGUCUCACCCCCAUCCCACUGCAGGCAACAGAGGGCAAGGUGGGGCCUGGAAAAGUGGCCUCAGAGACACCCUGGGCCAACCCCCUCCCUGGAAGGGUCUCCAUCCCCCUGAGAGCUCUGGUGGCACCUGUGCCCCUGCCUUGGCUCACCGGGCAGGAGCAGCGACCCCCGGCACUGAGCCCCGUCCCCACUCCGGCUGGAGCAGGGUGGGAUCACUCCAGAGCCUGGAGAGCCAAGGAGAACAAUCCAUGGGAGCUGGCCAUGACCUGGGAACAGCGCCCAGGGCAAUGCCAGCUGCUCCACACAAAUGACAUUCCUGGUGUGAAAGUCCCCCAGCAUUAAUCUCAGGCAGUGCCCUUAUCAUCCCACCCCAAUGAAUUGUGUGUGUGCUGUGAGGAUGAAACCCCUGGAUUAGUGAUUCACACCAUCACAGCUGUUUGGGGUUUGUUCUUCCUUCAGCAGGGCUCUCUCAACCACCUGUAACCACCAAGGACAAAAUCCAACAUGGAAUUUUCAUGAUGGAAAUAAGGGCCUGUUUUAAAUAACUAAAAAUGCAGCUGUGGGGGGCUGUCUGCGAAAGGAAAUUCCCCCAGUUUCAUUAUCCUACUCUUAUUUUGGUAUUGAAAAUGCACAGUACAAAGAAAGACAGUCAUGCUUUUAUUCUGAUUAAUACAUUUUAAUGAUCUGUGGCAUCAGUUUCUAUUUCCAUGCACUUUUAACACUGCUUAGGAACUAAGAUGGUUUUUCCUGCAGUCCAAUUUCUUCUUUUGUAGAAAAACUCCAUCUGCAAGGCACAGUCGGGAUCCCAGAUCCUACACACACCUCAGAGCAAGGUCUAGUGAUCAUCCCAGCUUUGGUUUGUGAUAUCCCAGUGGGAAUGAAGUGAUAUCCAUGGCAAGCUGUGCAUGGCCACUGCUGAUCCCAAUUUCUGCCGAAGGAGCAGCAGGACCAGGCAGGGGCUGGACUCUCCAUCUUAUCAUCUGUGGAGAACAUUACACUUUGGGCAACUUCAGGUGGGAAAAGGAUGAGCCACACUGAGGCACUGACUGAGAUUCCAGGGCUCUUCUUGUGCUGUCCCUUUGUCCCCUGGGAGCAGGGAUGGAUCCCCCCUGGCCACCCUCCUGGCAGGGUCAGUGAGGAGGGGUUUGGCCACACCAGGGAUGUGUCUGGGGCUCACACAGAACAUCAGCCCCAGCCCACGGAGCCCCAUUUCCCUGCCUGGCACAGGGGAAUGAUGCUGUCUGAAAAGGGUCAGGGCUGCAGGAGCUCCCUCCAGAGCAGGUGCCACCCCCAGCUCUGCCAGGGGCAAUUUGAAGCCUUUCCAGCAGGGAAGGACAGGACAGCCCCGUGCCACGGGAUGUUUUCUCCAAGGGAAGGGCUGGAAUCAGGGCAGGAUCCACAGGGACAGGUUUGUUCCUGGAGCUUUGUUUGGCUUUGCCUCAUGCCAUGAGUCCUGGAGGGCAAGGUCCCUGACACCAGGGAGGAGCUCUCCUACAAGAGCUUCCUGCAGGAAGUUUGAUUUCCUAAAAUUUCAGGGCUGUAAUGAGGUGUCCAUGUCCUCCGUGGCACUUUGUGCUCUGCCUGUCAUCCCACCACGGAAACCACUUGGUAAACUUUCCUUGACAUGGUGAGAUGCAUUACAUUGUUUUCAAAGCCAGUAAGAAAGGGUCCCUGACAUUUCCAUAUUUUGUUUAUUGCUUAGCAGCAGAAGCUCUGGGCUCUGGGAGGAAGGGGGAGAUGGGAAAUAUUUGUUCUGGACUUGGUUUGCCUCCAGGACCUGGCCACUCCCUCGUGCCAGAGCCAUGAUCCCAUUCCUGCUCCUGUUAUUUUACGUGCUGUUCCUCCCUGGCCACACUCCCCUUUUACUGCAACUGCUGCUCCAGGACACAAACAGGGAGAUAAGAGCCCAGGUUUGAGAUGAUGGAAUCAUGGAAUCACAGACUGGUUUGGGUUGGAAGGGAUCUCAAAGCUCAUCCAGUUCUUGUCCCAGGUUGCUCCCAGCCCCAUCCCUCCUGGAUCCAGUGAUGCUGGGCCAUUAUUCCCUGCCCAGGGCCAGGACAUUGGAAUGGGGUGAAUUUUAAGGUCCUUUCCAACCCAAACCUUCUGGGAUCCAGGGAUUUUCGGAUUUCAAUCCCACUCAUUGAAGAUGUGCUGCUCCUUGUGCUCCUCUUGGAGAGACUCUUUUCACUUUUCCCAUCUUGAAACGCGCCCAGCAUUUAAUUACACCAUGAAUAAAUUAUUGGACAGAUAAAAGUUACCGCACCAAAAAUAAACAAAUAUUUAACUAGA